This 477-nucleotide ribosomal RNA is filed under the name uncultured anaerobic ammonium-oxidizing bacterium. RNAcentral describes it as "bacterial SSU rRNA". It matches the Rfam family "Bacterial small subunit ribosomal RNA", at positions 365 to 832 of the family's 1533-position model. The record is from RNAcentral.
UUCGCAAUGCCCGAAAGGGUGACGAAGCGACGCCGCGUGUGGGAAGAAGGCCUUCGGGUUGUAAACCACUGUUGGGAGUUAGGAAGUGCGAAGGUGUUAAUAGCGCUUUCGCUUGACUAAAGCCCCAGAGGAAGCCACGGCUAACUCUGUGCCAGCAGCCGCGGUAAUACAGAGGCGGCAAGCGUUGUUCGGAAUUAUUGGGCGUAAAGAGCACGUAGGCGGCUCUGCAAGUCAGCUGUGAAAGCCUUCUGCUUAACGGAAGAACGGCAGUUGAAACUACAGGGCUUGAGUGCGGGAGGGGAGAGUGGAACUUCUGGUGGAGCGGUGAAAUGCGUAGAUAUCAGAAGGAACGCCGGCGGCGAAAGCGGCUCUCUGGUCCGUAACUGACGCUGAGUGUGCGAAAGCUAGGGGAGCAAACGGGAUUAGAUACCCCGGUAGUCCUAGCCGUAAACGAUGGGCACUAAGUAGAGGGGUUUU